GGGGAUGUAAAGGUUUCGACGGGGAGAGGGAAGUGCGAGCAGCGGGUCGUGUUCGGGGGACACACGAAAAACUCCUCCAAAACAAUAGCUGAUAACAACAAAUUAGCUGUCGCUGCCUAAUUAUAGGCGGCUGUUCUGCCCACUCAAGUGCCGUGUGGGGCCAGAGCAUCAUGUAGGCACUGAACGUGCGCAGCCCUAAGCUUUGCAGGCGGCCAUGAAUUCAUGAAGCUACCAACGCACCGGCCUGUUUGUUGGCCUGAUGCGAAGGGAAUGUUGUAAACAAACUGCACCCGGAGAUACUCUCAUAGACUUCUUUUCGGACACGGGUUCGAUUCCCGUCAUCUCCACCA
This 350-nucleotide transfer-messenger RNA is filed under the name Oscillospiraceae. RNAcentral's name for it is "Anaerofilum faecale Standard tmRNA". It matches the Rfam family "transfer-messenger RNA". From Rfam's summary of the family: Bacterial tmRNA, also known as 10Sa RNA or SsrA, is named for its dual tRNA and mRNA-like properties. Its role is to liberate the mRNA from a stalled ribosome. RNAcentral also lists the same sequence under 1 other name. The record is from RNAcentral. Lineage: Bacteria; Bacillati; Bacillota; Clostridia; Eubacteriales.